RNAcentral lists this transfer RNA (66 nucleotides) under Pliocardia sp. A3710_17_S18. RNAcentral describes it as "tRNA-Thr". The record is from RNAcentral. Lineage: Eukaryota; Metazoa; Mollusca; Bivalvia; Venerida; Vesicomyidae.
GGGAUUAUAGUUUAAUAAGAAUGAGAAUUUUGUAAAUUUUUAGUAAUAUAUACAUAUUUGAUCCUU